Molecule: ribosomal RNA, 448 nt
Filed under: uncultured bacterium
Lineage: Bacteria
Description: bacterial SSU rRNA
Rfam family: Bacterial small subunit ribosomal RNA
Source: RNAcentral
AACGAACGCUGGCGGCAGGCCUAACACAUGCAAGUCGAGCGCCCUGCAAGGGGAGCGGCGGACGGGUGAGUAACGCGUGGGAAUUUUUCCUGGAGUACGGAACAACCGAGGGAAACUUCGGCUAAUACCGUAUGAUGCCGAGAGGCCAAAGAUUUAUCGCUCUGGGGUGAGCCCGCGUCAGAUUAGGUAGUUGGUGGGGUAAUGGCCUACCAAGCCUGCGAUCUGUAGCUGGUCUGAGAGGACGAUCAGCCACACUGGGACUGAGACACGGCCCAGACUCCUACGGGAGGCAGCAGUGGGGAAUCUUGCGCAAUGGGCGAAAGCCUGACGCAGCCAUGCCGCGUGAGUGAAGAAGGUCUUAGGAUUGUAAAGCUCUUUCGCUCGUGACGAUGAUGACGGUAACGAGAGAAGAAGCCCCGGCUAACUUCGUGCCAGCAGCCGCAGUAAG